UGAGGAAUAUUGGUCAAUGGGCGUAAGCCUGAACCAGCCAAGUAGCGUGAGGGAAGACUGCCCUAUGGGUUGUAAACCUCUUUUGUGCGGGGAUAAAGUGUGGGACGUGUCCCAUAUUGCAGGUACCGCACGAAUAAGGACCGGCUAAUUCCGUGCCAGCAGCCGCGGUAAUACGGAAGGUCCGGGCGUUAUCCGGAUUUAUUGGGUUUAAAGGGAGCGCAGGCCGUCCUUUAAGCGUGCUGUGAAAUGCCGCGGCUCAACCGUGGCACUGCAGCGCGAACUGGAGGACUUGAGUACGCACGAGGUAGGCGGAAUUCGUGGUGUAGCGGUGAAAUGCUUAGAUAUCACGAAGAACUCCGAUUGCGAAGGCAGCUUACCGGAGCGCAACUGACGCUGAGGCUCGAAAGCGCGGGUAUCGAACAGGAUUAGAUACCCUGGUAGUCCGCGCGGUAAACGAUGGAUGCCCGCCGUUGGGAUUUUGAUUUCAGCGGCCAAGCGAAAGCGUUAAGCAUCCCACCUGGGGAGUACGCCGGCAACGGUGAAACUCAAAGGAAUUGACGGGGGCCCGCACAAGCGGAGGAACAUGUGGUUUAAUUCGAUGAUACGCGAGGAACCUUACCCGGGUUUGAAUUGCAGGAGAACGAUCCAGAGAUGGUGAGGCCCUUCGGGGCUCCUGUGAAGGUGCUGCAUGGUUGUCGUCAGCUCGUGCCGUGAGGUGUCGGCUCAAGUGCCAUAACGAGCGCAACCCCUGUCCAUAGUUGCCAUCAGGUCGUGCUGGGCACUCUGUGGAGACUGCCGCCGUAAGGUGUGAGGAAGGUGGGGAUGACGUCAAAUCAGCACGGCCCUUACGUCCGGGGCUACACACGUGUUACAAUGGGGCAUACAGCGAGUUGGAUGUGCGCAAAUACGUCCGGAUCAAUAAAGUGCCUCUCAGUUCGGACUGGGGUCUGCAACCCGACCCCACGAAGCUGGAUUCGCUAGUAAUCGCGCAUCAGCCAUGGCGCGGUGAAUACGUUCCC
RNAcentral lists this ribosomal RNA (1019 nucleotides) under uncultured bacterium. RNAcentral describes it as "bacterial SSU rRNA". It matches the Rfam family "Bacterial small subunit ribosomal RNA", at positions 355 to 1375 of the family's 1533-position model. The record is from RNAcentral.